Lactuca sativa (garden lettuce) is the source of this 107-nucleotide small nucleolar RNA. Lineage: Eukaryota; Viridiplantae; Streptophyta; Magnoliopsida; Asterales; Asteraceae. The record is from RefSeq and is a predicted model, not a curated record.
AGGUCAUUCUAGGGACAAUUUCUCAACAAACAUUUAUAUCUCUUCCAUGCCUCAUAAAGUCAUUCACCUCCUUUCUGUUCAAAAUUGGCAAUUGCUUUCUUUAACUU